CGGUCCCGGCCGGAAUCGAACCGGCGCCCAUCCGACCGACAAUCGGACGCUCUACCACUGAGCUACGGGACC
This 72-nucleotide transfer RNA is filed under the name Streptomyces lydicus. RNAcentral describes it as "tRNA-Asp". The record is from RNAcentral. Lineage: Bacteria; Bacillati; Actinomycetota; Actinomycetes; Kitasatosporales; Streptomycetaceae.